UGCCCACUGAUUAAUAUUAAAGGGCUGCAGUAAUUUGACUGUACAAAGGUAGCAUAAUCAUUAGUCAUUUAAUUGAUGACUUGUAUGAAAGAUUGGAUGAAAUAUAAACUGUCUUUAAAAUAUAAUAUAGAAUUUAAUUUUUUAAUUAAAAAGUUAAAAUAAAUAAAAAAGACGAGAAGACCCUAUAGAGUUUUAUUAUAAAAUUAAUUAGUAUUAUUUGUAAAUGUUUAAUAAAAAUUUAAAUUAAUUUUAUAAUUUUAUUGGGGUGAUAGAAAAAUUAAGUAAACUUUUUUAUAUAGUUAACAUAGAUAAGUGAAUUUAUGAUCCAUAAUUAAUGAUUAUAAGAAAAAAUUACCUUAGGGAUAACAGCGUAAUUUUUUUUUUUAGUUCACAUAAAAAAAAAAGUUUGCGACCUCGAUGUUGGAUUAAGAUAAAAUUUAAAUGUAGAAGUUUAAUAGUUUUGA
Molecule: ribosomal RNA, 464 nt
Filed under: Laelia umbrina
Lineage: Eukaryota; Metazoa; Arthropoda; Insecta; Lepidoptera; Erebidae
Description: partial large subunit ribosomal RNA
Source: RNAcentral